UUCAUUCUUCUCAGGGAUUGCGAUGGC
RNAcentral lists this small RNA (27 nucleotides) under Bombyx mori (domestic silkworm). Its description in RNAcentral is "ovarian small RNA-37084". Lineage: Eukaryota; Metazoa; Arthropoda; Insecta; Lepidoptera; Bombycidae. The record is from RNAcentral.